This 212-nucleotide unclassified non-coding RNA is filed under the name Hevea brasiliensis (rubber tree). Lineage: Eukaryota; Viridiplantae; Streptophyta; Magnoliopsida; Malpighiales; Euphorbiaceae. The record is from RNAcentral.
GAUAUUUGCUUUUGGAUAAUGCUGCUAUUAUUUGGAAUGUUGUAUCUCAAACUUAUUCCUAAAUGGGCAAUAAAGCACAGUUCUAUGAGAUACAGAACAAGGUUCAUAACAUGAAACAAAGUGAGAUGAUCAUUGCUCAAUACUUUGCUAAAUUAAGUGGUUUGUGGUAGGAACUAGACUAUUAUUAAGGCUUUCAAGCCACUUGCAUUGCU